Long non-coding RNA from Oreochromis niloticus (Nile tilapia), 2064 nucleotides. The record is from Ensembl. NCBI's taxonomy places the organism in Eukaryota, Metazoa, Chordata, Actinopteri, Cichliformes, Cichlidae.
GUAUGUCUUAUACAGAUUACAAUAAUGCUGCAUUUGCAGCUAUGAAACACUGUAUGGUUUGUGUGUGUGUGUGUCUGUUUAUUUCUUAUAUUUGGCUGAUAUUGGAAGUACAUCUAUUUUGACACUGCUCACUCAAACUGAACAGUUGAUUGAAUGUUUUACAGCCAGCACUCAUAUCAUAGAGGCCCUGUUUACCCAGCGCAUUCUUCCACCCACCUCAGCUGUCAGCAGACCAGCCGCACUGUUACACUGUUGAGGUGGAUCAUUUUCCUCAGCACACCCCCUCGCUUGUCCUACUUGCCCUGUCAACUUCUGUUAAGGAUAGCAGACAGCAGCUGCAACAGCUACUGCAUAUCCUGACCCAUAAGAUUAAACCCAGCCGAGAUGAAAAGAUGUAAAGACACACUACAGCACUUUUUUGCCAUCUGUUUUACUAAUACAUUAUACUUGUAUUUAAUUUAUGGAUUCCUGGUGUUAAGGCCAGUGCACAUGUUGAUAAAGGUGUGCAGGUGUGAUCAGUGGAUUUUUGACAUAAAUUAGAGCACUUGUAUGAGACAUAUUCCUGUGCUCUUUAGUUAACAUGCAGGAUUUUACUUUUCACUUAUUGGUGCUGUCUUUGAGCUCUAGUCUUAAAUUUAUAUCUUGGGUUAGUUGGCUGCAUUCUGUGACUUUGCUGAUUCAGGAAGACAGAACACAGUGACCUGGCACUUGGUUUGUGCACUUGUAUGUUUCUCUGUGUUAGAUACAUUGUAAGAUAGAAACUGUGCGGUUGGUGUAACUCUUUGGCUCUUAAUUUUGCUCCAUGAAGGCUUAUAGUUGUGACACUUUUGUUGUGUCCUCAAAUAAAACUGAGUUGAAGUGUUUUGUUUGCUAAAGUUGUAAUCUAUUCUGUUCAUUAUAUCUGCAAUUAAAAACAUGCAACAUAGAUGUUUGCCAGAACAAAUUCUGAAUAAAUUAGACUAAAUUAGACAGAAUGUGUUUGGAUGAAGCAGAGCAAGUCAGUUCCUAUUGUCUGCAUCUAUCAGACUGAAAAACACAAGGACGGGAGCUAGAAGAAAAUAAUGACGAGGAAAACAAAUCCACAGAGGAAAAACUGAACAAGAAAUCAUGUAGAUAUUGAAAGUACUACUAGAACAACUGGAAGUAAGCAACAGAUGCUUUACUUAUUCCAAGUUAAAGGGACAGGGAUGAGAUCAUGUUAUAAAAAAUGAGGUUGUCAAAGUCUGAAGAGGAUUCUGCAUUUAUUCAGAGGCUGCCUUGUAUUACAAAUAAAAUUGUUUUUAAAAACUCAAUCUGGCUUGGUAAUGUCACAGUGUUGUGAUGAGGGACUUAGAUGCAGAUCACUGCAGGCAAAAAUCUAGACAAAAAGUGAGCCAUGAGCAAAAAACACAAAGGGCAUCUGGACUGGUAUACUGGGACACAUCGCUGGGCUGAUGUGUUGAUAUAAUUUUAUUUUAUUAUCAUAACUAUUUUCUUCUUGUCAAUAUAAUUAUGCUGGCAGUGGGCCAUGUUGAAGGGCUGCUGUGCAUGGCUCUGAAAAAGCUGGGGCAGAAAAGCUAAGAGAGAAAAUGAAAAAGAAACUAGAAAUAAAUACAGCAAAAUGUGUCAAAUUAACCAACAUGUCGGAGCAGCUGCAGCUUCUGCUGAUCCAUGAACAAUAGUACCUGCAAAAACUAGUAAAAUUAGUGAAAUUAUUCCUAUUAUAUAUUGUGAUUAUGUGACUUAUUAUGCUAUUUCUGUGUUUUCCAUAUACUACUGCACUGUUUUGACCAAUCAUUGUGGGCCAUUUGGACCACAAAUGCCAGGGCUGAAUGUUUUGUCCUGGUCCAGACCUGAUGCAAUGCAACACCUUAACAAAGUACACAGGGCGUACUGAACUAAGGGUACAAGACAUCGGUACAGAGAAUCAGGAAAAUACAAUUUAAAGUAGGAGCUAAGAAAAAAAUGGUAAAGAAAGGAGGCACCGAAAUAAGAAGGACGUAGACCAGAAACAGCUUAGAAGAGCUUAGAAAGAAAGUGACCGGACUUCUUUCUGUCUUUCUUUCAUGAAGACCUUUCAUCUCU